Molecule: ribosomal RNA, 253 nt
Filed under: uncultured bacterium
Lineage: Bacteria
Description: partial 16S ribosomal RNA
Rfam family: Bacterial small subunit ribosomal RNA
Source: RNAcentral
UACGUAGGGUGCAAGCGUUAAUCGGAAUUACUGGGCGUAAAGCGUGCGCAGGCGGUGAUGCAAGACAGAGGUGAAAUCCCCGGGCUCAACCUGGGAACUGCCUUUGUGACUGCAUGACUAGAGUACGGUAGAGGGGGAUGGAAUUCCGCGUGUAGCAGUGAAAUGCGUAGAUAUCGGGAGGAACACCAGUGGCGAAGGCGGCUUCCUGGCCUGUUCUUGACGCUGAGGCGCGAAAGCUAGGGGAGCAAACGGG